Panicum virgatum (switchgrass) is the source of this 1052-nucleotide long non-coding RNA. RefSeq lists it as uncharacterized. NCBI's taxonomy places the organism in Eukaryota, Viridiplantae, Streptophyta, Magnoliopsida, Poales, Poaceae. The record is from RefSeq and is a predicted model, not a curated record. The transcript has 2 exons.
UUUAGCCUCUCUUAUUUCUCUCUCUCUCCCCUCUCUUUCUCCCAAAAAUCAGAGCUCUGCAGGCAGUGCCGUUCUCUCCCAUGCCCAUCCCAUUCCAGAGCAUGGCGGAGAGAUCGGAGCUUCCCUGUGUAGGAAGCUUCCUCGACGUCUGCUUCCCCGCGACCAAAUCCAUGGCAGUACAGUGGAUCUUGCAAAAAGGGCCUAGGAUGGUUGCAGCAUGGUGCCAGUGGCCUGGCAGUGGAGCACGGCGGCGCUGGGACCGAGGGCGCCGCAGGCGUAGAGCAGGCAGGGGGACUGCCUCGGCGACGGGGCGUAGAGCCGGCGGAAGGCGGCGUAUGCUUGCAUUCCAGGAGGUGCCGACUGCAUCGGAGUUCCAGGUUAGUUAAAAUCAAACACAAACUAAAAAUUCUUGUUCUUCUGUGCAUGCCAGCUGAUUACAUCAAAAGGAAAAAUUCAGGCGGUGGAUAUCAACUAAAUCUCUACUGCAUGCCCGGUUAGCAAUCUCAUAUCCCGAUCUAUCCACUUCAAUUUAAUUAACUUGUACUACUAUUACCUUUCUACUAGGAUGUGGAGGGUAGAAGCAAUGCAUCCCAAGAUAGAAAAAAAAAAUCAUUUUUCGUUCCCCAUGGUUAUUCGUUCUGUAUCCUCCUCACGGUUAUGGAUUCAUGGUGCAGCUUGAAUCGCAACAAGCGGUGGUGUAAUCCAACUGUGUAUUAUCAAAGAAAUGCUUGUUCGGACGGUGCUGGAAUGGGGAGCUCUAAGAUGCACAGCCAGGAGUAAUUCUAAACGCUCUAAGAAAUUGCAUCAGCGGAAACUAGGAAGUUCGUGUAGGAGGGCUUAACUGCUCUCUACUGCUACCUUGCACUGCUUGGCUUCAUCAUCAAUACCCAAUAUUCCUAGCACAAAAUGCACUUAAAUUUACUCUAUCAUAACAGCAUUUUGUGCUCACUAUAGGAAAAAGUGGGCAAUUUCGAUGUGUUUGUGUGAUCGGCUUGUACACCACGUAAACUUUGUUGAAUCAAAUUCUGUGCGACCAACCAAGUGAUUUUUGA